Molecule: ribosomal RNA, 348 nt
Filed under: Triticum aestivum (bread wheat)
Lineage: Eukaryota; Viridiplantae; Streptophyta; Magnoliopsida; Poales; Poaceae
Description: partial small subunit ribosomal RNA
Source: RNAcentral
AUGGAAUACAAGGAGUACUACACCACUUAUUCUAGAAAUAGCACAGUGUGGCUCCGUGCGGGGUCUCCUCCAUCAACUCUCAUAUAUAAGCAUCCCAUCAAUUGUGCGUUGUCGGUGGUUUGCACUUUGGAGGCGGCUUCGGUUUCGGUUCAGGUUCAGGCUUGGGCUCUGGCUUUGGUUCGGGUUUUGGCACCAGCUUUGGUUUGGAGCAGGGCUCGGGCUUCGGUUUUGGCAUCGGCUUGGGCUUGGGUUCUGGCUCAGGCUUAUGUCCAGGCUUUUGUUCGGGCUUUGGUUUGGGUUUGGGCGUCGGUUCAGGUUUGCAUGGCUCUGGCUCUGUGUGUGGCAUAG